GACGAACGCUGGCGGCGUGCUUAACACAUGCAAGUCGAACGGAAAGGCCCUGCUUGCAGGGUACUCGAGUGGCGAACGGGUGAGUAACACGUGGGUGAUCUGCCCUGCACUUCGGGAUAAGCCUGGGAAACUGGGUCUAAUACCGGAUAGGAGCCAUUUUUAGUGUGAUGGUUGGAAAGUUUUUUCGGUGUAGGCUGUGCUCGCGGCAUAUAAGCUUGUUGGUGGGGUAAUGGCCUACCAAGGCGGCGACGGGUAGCCGGCCUGUGAGGGUGGCCGGCCACAUUGGGACUGAGAUACGGCCCAGACUCCUACGGGAGGGAGCAGUGGGGAAUAUUGCACAAUGGGCGCAAGCCUGAUGCAGCGACGCCGCGUGGGGGAUGACGGCCUUCGGGUUGUAAACUCCUUUCGCUAGGGACGAAGCUUUUUGUGACGGUACCUAGAUAAGAAGCACCGGCUAACUACGUG
RNAcentral lists this ribosomal RNA (465 nucleotides) under uncultured bacterium. Its description in RNAcentral is "partial 16S ribosomal RNA". It matches the Rfam family "Bacterial small subunit ribosomal RNA", at positions 28 to 507 of the family's 1533-position model. The record is from RNAcentral.